AAAAAAUUUAAAAUGAAUGUUUCGUUCCCUUUAGGUAUGAGUGGAAGAAAACGCUGCUGCGAGUACGGGUUUCGUGGCUAUGGUGGCUUCGGUGGCUACAGUUUGGGUAUAGGUGGGUCAUGUGACUAGUGUGCUAAUGCUACAAUGUGUGCAAACUACAAGGGAGGCUUUAAUUUGGACCACCGAUUGGACGUGGGGGCUGCAACUGUGGAUGCUCUCCGAGUCUUACAUUUCCUUGUGUAUUUGGUGCUUGUGUCAACAAUCCAGGCUGCGAGUGCUGUAAGAAGCCUCCCAGAGGCAAAUGUAUCUGGCCAUGUAUGUGGUCAUGCUGCUGCGAGUACGAUCCACCUAAGUUCAAGUUGAAAGCUCUAGGGCCCAAGUCAGUGUGCCAAUGUCCAAACAGGCGUUGUUGCAGAAAACGCCCGACCCAAACAAAUAACUAAGGUCCUGUUAAACGAAACCUGCUAAACUCUAUUGGUGGGCCGUUUCCAAAAGCUUUUCCUCCAUUCAGUUUCCCAAUUGUCAACGGCCUUCAAAUCAAGCCUCAAGGUUUUCUUCAAGUUCCAAGUCAUCUAGAAACCAGUCCACAAGUAUAAUCCAAAAGAUCAUGAUAAUAACGGCCACAGAAGUAUUGCCAUCCAGUAACACUUGAGAAAUUUUCAGCCAUGUUAUCCUUUCGAUCACAGCAGAAGAAUAAAGAUCCAACGACUAUACUGCUUUAUUUAUCAAAAGAAUGUGUAAUAAAGGUUGAAUAAAGUAUCAUUGAAGCCGUGCGCGCUUGCUUGUUACGUAUAACUUGAAAUGUAUUGAGAUAAAUCCCUUCACCGGAAAAAGAAAAACAUCGUGGGAAAGUAAUAUCGUGUCCCUUAAACACUACUCAAAGCCGGUAAGUCUGGGAAGUUUGCAAGAUGGGAGUGCACUUGCACACAUUAAGGUAACCUUGGUUGGAAGCACAUCUUAAAUGGUCACUUUCUUGAUACUCCAAGCGAUAUUACUUAGCAGCUACACAGAGAAAAACGCAACAGCAAAGAUUUACAAGGCACUUCUAAGAAAACACUUAAUUUGGCGGUAAACCCCAAUUCAGUGUGAAUUGUCAAAUGAUAACUCCUCUUUUGUCAUGUUUCUCGAAGUUGUACUGCGUUUUCUUAGUCUGUGCUAUUUAA
This is a long non-coding RNA of Stylophora pistillata, 1163 nucleotides long. The record is from RefSeq and is a predicted model, not a curated record. NCBI's taxonomy places the organism in Eukaryota, Metazoa, Cnidaria, Anthozoa, Scleractinia, Pocilloporidae.